RNAcentral lists this ribosomal RNA (194 nucleotides) under uncultured bacterium. RNAcentral describes it as "partial 16S rRNA". It matches the Rfam family "Bacterial small subunit ribosomal RNA", at positions 338 to 524 of the family's 1533-position model. The record is from RNAcentral.
CCUACGGGAGGCAGCAGUAGGGAAUCUUCCGCAAUGGGCGAAAGCCUGACGGAGCAACGCCGCGUGAGUGAUGAAGGUUUUCGGAUCGUAAAGCUCUGUUGCCAGGGAAGAACGUCUCAUAGAGUAACUGCUAUGAGAGUGACGGUACCUGAGAAGAAAGCCCCGGCUAACUACGUGCCAGCAGCCGCGGUAAU